UCCCAAUGAUGAUAAAUUUUCCCUGACUUGAAACAUGGAGGCAAAUAUUAAGUGAUUUAAUCUGAGGG
Paramuricea clavata is the source of this 68-nucleotide non-coding RNA. Lineage: Eukaryota; Metazoa; Cnidaria; Anthozoa; Malacalcyonacea; Plexauridae. The record is from the annotation of a GenBank genome assembly.